UUGGCGGCGGCUACCAUGCAAGUCGAGCGGUAGCACAGAGAGCUUGCUCUCGGGUGACGAGCGGCGGACGGGUGAGUAAUGUCUGGGAAACUGCCUGAUGGAGGGGGAUAACUACUGGAAACGGUAGCUAAUACCGCAUAACGUCGCAAGACCAAAGUGGGGGACCUUCGGGCCUCAUGCCAUCAGAUGUGCCCAGAUGGGAUUAGCUGGUAGGUGGGGUAACGGCUCACCUAGGCGACGAUCCCUAGCUGGUCUGAGAGGAUGACCAGCCACACUGGAACUGAGACACGGUCCAGACUCCUACGGGAGGCAGCAGUGGGGAAUAUUGCACAAUGGGCGCAAGCCUGAUGCAGCCAUGCCGCGUGUGUGAAGAAGGCCUUCGGGUUGUAAAGCACUUUCAGCGGGGAGGAAGGCGGUGAGGUUAAUAACCUCAUCGAUUGACGUUACCCGCAGAAGAAGCACCGGCUAACUCCGUGCCAGCAGCCGCGGUAAUACGGAGGGUGCAAGCGUUAAUCGGAAUUACUGGGCGUAAAGCGCACGCAGGCGGUCUGUCAAGUCGGAUGUGAAAUCCCCGGGCUCAACCUGGGAACUGCAUUCGAAACUGGCAGGCUAGAGUCUUGUAGAGGGGGGUAGAAUUCCAGGUGUAGCGGUGAAAUGCGUAGAGAUCUGGAGGAAUACCGGUGGCGAAGGCGGCCCCCUGGACAAAGACUGACGCUCAGGUGCGAAAGCGUGGGGAGCAAACAGGAUUAGAUACCCUGGUAGUCCACGCUGUAAACGAUGUCGAUUUGGAGGUUGUGCCCUUGAGGCGUGGCUUCCGGAGCUAACGCGUUAAAUCGACCGCCUGGGGAGUACGGCCGCAAGGUUAAAACUCAAAUGAAUUGACGGGGGCCCGCACAAGCGGUGGAGCAUGUGGUUUAAUUCGAUGCAACGCGAAGAACCUUACCUGGUCUUGACAUCCACAGAACUUUCCAGAGAUGGAUUGGUGCCUUCGGGAACUGUGAGACAGGUGCUGCAUGGCUGUCGUCAGCUCGUGUUGUGAAAUGUUGGGUUAAGUCCCGCAACGAGCGCAACCCUUAUCCUUUGUUGCCAGCGGUUCGGCCGGGAACUCAAAGGAGACUGCCAGUGAUAAACUGGAGGAAGGUGGGGAUGACGUCAAGUCAUCAUGGCCCUUACGACCAGGGCUACACACGUGCUACAAUGGCAUAUACAAAGAGAAGCGACCUCGCGAGAGCAAGCGGACCUCAUAAAGUAUGUCGUAGUCCGGAUUGGAGUCUGCAACUCGACUCCAUGAAGUCGGAAUCGCUAGUAAUCGUAGAUCAGAAUGCUACGGUGAAUACGUUCCCGGGCCUUGUACACACCGCCCGUCACACCAUGGGAGUGGGUUGCAAAAGAAGUAGGUAGCUUAACCUUCGGGAGGGCGCUACCACUUUGGAUCC
This 1436-nucleotide ribosomal RNA is filed under the name bacterium. Its description in RNAcentral is "bacterial SSU rRNA". It matches the Rfam family "Bacterial small subunit ribosomal RNA". The record is from RNAcentral.